CACCCCGACUUUUGGAGGGGUGUAUUUAUUAGAUAAAAAACCAAUGCCCUUCGGGGCUCCUUGGUGAUUCAUAAUAACUUAACGAAUCGCAUGGCCUUGUGCCGGCGAUGGUUCAUUCAAAUUUCUGCCCUAUCAACUUUCGAUGGUUAGGUCUUGGCUAACCAUGGUUUCAACGGGUAACGGGGAAUUAGGGUUCUAUUCCGGAGAGUGAGCCUGAGAAACGGCUAACACAUCCAAGGAAGGCAGCAGGCGCGCAAAUUACCCAAUCCCGACACGGGGAGGUAGUGACAAUAAAUACUGAUCCAGGGCUCUUUUGGGUCUUGGAAUUGGAAUGAGUACAAUUUAAAUCCCUUAACGAGGAACAAUUGGAGGGCAAGUCUGGUGCCAGCAGCCGCGGUAAUUCCAGCUCCAAUAGCGUAUAUUAAAGUUGUUGCAGUUAAAAAGCUCGUAGUUGAACCUUGGGUUUGGCUGGUCGGUCCGCCUCACCGCGUGUACUGGUCCGGCCGAAUCUUUCCUUCUGGGGAAUCGCAUGCCCUUCACUGGGUGUGUCGAGGAUCCAGGACUUUUACUUUGAAAAAAUUAGAGUGUUCAAAGCAGGCCUAUGCUCGAAUACAUUAGCAUGGAAUAAUAGAAUAGGACGUGUGGUUCUAUUUUGUUGGUUUCUAGGACCGCCGUAAUGAUUAAUAGGGAUAGUCGGGGGCAUCAGUAUUCAAUUGUCAGAGGUGAAAUUCUUGGAUUUAUUGAAGACUAACUACUGCGAAAGCAUUUGCCAAGGAUGUUUUCAUUAAUCAGUGAACGAAAGUUAGGGGAUCGAAGACGAUCAGAUACCGUCGUAGUCUUAACCAUAAACUAUGCCGACUAGGGAUCGGGCGAUGUUACUUUUUUGACUCGCUCGGCACCUUACGAGAAAUCAAA
Molecule: ribosomal RNA, 915 nt
Filed under: Tetracladium psychrophilum
Lineage: Eukaryota; Fungi; Ascomycota; Leotiomycetes; Helotiales
Description: SSU rRNA
Rfam family: Eukaryotic small subunit ribosomal RNA
Source: RNAcentral